Long non-coding RNA from Plutella xylostella (diamondback moth), 611 nucleotides. RefSeq lists it as uncharacterized. The record is from RefSeq and is a predicted model, not a curated record. Lineage: Eukaryota; Metazoa; Arthropoda; Insecta; Lepidoptera; Plutellidae.
CGCUAGUAAUAUUAGUGCAAUGUACUUGACAGACUGUAAGCGGUCCAUACUUAGAAAGAUAAUACUAGGUUUUGGUUCAAUGUCAGUGGAAUGAGGGUAGGAUAAUAAUAUAUAGUUAAGUGGUACGGUACGGUAGUUAAUUAAAUUUUACUCAUUCGAUACAGAAAUAACAUAGAAGGACUCAAAUUUAUUUAAUACAGUAUCAAACAGAAAGAUAACUUAAACAAGGAUGGAAAUUAAUAUCAAUAAUGCUUUUUACAUGGCAAUAAAGUUUUCAUGGGCUCCAUACUAUUCGUGCUAUGGAACAUUAAAAGAUGGUACCAAAAUAUUAACUGACAAAACAGUAAUUUUUCUGUUGCAGCGACCUGCUUUUACAAUUUUUAUUGUUUCAAUCGUGCUAUUGUUCUUUGUUCCAGUUAUUUUUGUAUCACUAUUAUUAUUUAGUGUUGCAUCAUUGGUAUUUUUUUUUCUUUUAAUUAUAGAAGGUUUGGCUAUUAUAAGUGUACUCAGUUUUAUCACUGCAAUUUUUUCUUUGAUAACCUUUUUAUUCGUUUUUGUUAACCUGAAAAAUACUCAUGAAUGAAGAAAGUACACAUACAGUCAAUAUUUUU